Molecule: ribosomal RNA, 442 nt
Filed under: uncultured bacterium
Lineage: Bacteria
Description: partial 16S ribosomal RNA
Rfam family: Bacterial small subunit ribosomal RNA
Source: RNAcentral
CCUACGGGAGGCAGCAGUGGGGAAUAUUGGGCAAUGGGCGCAAGCCCGACCCAGCAAUGCCGCGUGAAGGAAGAAGGCUUUCGGGUUGUAAACUUCUUUGACAGGGGAAGAGCAGAAGACGGUACCCUGAAAACAAGCCACGGCUAACUACGUGCCAGCAGCCGCGGUAAUACGGAGGUGGCAAGCGUUGUCCGGAUUUACUGGGUGUAAAGGGCGUGUAGCCGGGAAGGCAAGUCAGAUGUGAAAUCUGGAGGCUCAACCUCCAAAUUGCAUUUGAAACUGUUUUUCUUGAGUACUGGAGAGGCAGACGGAAUUCCUUGUGUAGCGGUGAAAUGCGUAGAUAUAAGGAGGAACACCAGUGGCGAAGGCGGUCUGCUGGACAGCAACUGACGGUGAGGCGCGAAAGCGUGGGGAGCAAACAGGAUUAGAUACCCCAGUAGUC